GGAACAUCUGCUUUAGUAACUGGUGAGUUGGUGUGUGCUAGCUUUUCAUUGCUGUGUCAAACUAACUGAGGAAAACCAGGUCGAGGAGUAAAGAUUCACUGGGGCUCCUUUUCAGAGGUUUCAGUCUGUGGUCGGCCAGCUCCAUUGUUUUGGGCCUGCAGUGAUGCACAUCAUGGCGGGAGGCUUUGGUGAAGCAGAGGCGCUCACCUUAUGCGGGGAAGCAGAGAAGGGGCCAGGCACAAGAUACGUCCUUCUAGGGCAUGUCCCAGUGACCUCCCUCCUCCAACUAGGCCCCGUCUCCCACAGUCUCCACCAUCUCCCAACAGGAUCGAUCCACUGGUGAGGCUGGUGUCCUCGUCAUCCAGCGCUCCCCACAGCCCCACCUCUGAGCCUGACUGAACGCGGACCCCACCUCCCACGGGAGACUUUGGGGAUGUUCCAGGCCCAACCGUAGAGUUCUCUUGGAGAAGGGAAAUUGGGACAUGGUAUCACACCGUCCACUGUGGAAGCAUUCCUUCUGGCUGAGCCCUCUGUUGGAAGGAGGACACGGUGCCUAGCCCCCCACAGGUUUUCCUGUCAAGGAAGGUGAGCCAGGAGGACGGCACGUCACUUUGUGAGACCCUCUCUCAAAAUGAAACAGAAGGAGGCCUGGAGAGUGUGACUCAGUGCAGACUGCCCUCAGCUCAAUCCCCGUCACCGUGAAAACAAAACUGAGGAGGCAGCGAGCUCUCGGGUCACUGAGACUGACGGAAGCGCAGUGUAAGUUGACCCAUGUGGCCACUGGGGCCCAGUUCUGGACCCUCCUCGCCCUCCACGUUCCAUGACCACGAGUUGAGUGUGUGUGUGUGGUUGUGUCUGUAGACAUGAUCCUAAGCUAGAGCUGGUAUAUAUUUGGUCCAGGGAUGGAACUCGGGGCGUCGACCCCUGAGCCACACCCCAGCCCUGUCUUGUAUCUUAUUUAGAGACAGGGCCUCACUGAGGUGCUUGGCCUCUUGCUGAGGCUGGCUCUGAACUGCCAUCCUCCUGCCUAAGCCUCCCGAGCUCCUGGAUUACAGGGCUCCGCUGCGCCAAGCUGGAUUCAUACACUUGUAAUCACUCUGUAAGAGGUCACUGGAAAUGCCACUUGCUAGAUGUCC
This 1136-nucleotide long non-coding RNA is filed under the name Marmota monax (woodchuck). The record is from RNAcentral. Lineage: Eukaryota; Metazoa; Chordata; Mammalia; Rodentia; Sciuridae.